Eufriesea mexicana is the source of this 1150-nucleotide long non-coding RNA. RefSeq lists it as uncharacterized. The record is from RefSeq and is a predicted model, not a curated record. The transcript has 3 exons. NCBI's taxonomy places the organism in Eukaryota, Metazoa, Arthropoda, Insecta, Hymenoptera, Apidae.
UAAUCUAUUAUUUUUAAUCUACCUUCACAAAGCUUAACGAACAGCUAGCUUUGCAACAAAAACAUAACCAACGUUCUACUUUUGAAGCCAAUUUGUACAGAAGAGAAUAAUUCAUUGAAGAUUCUCCAAAUCAAGUUCGAAGAUAAUCAAUUAUUUGGAAAAAUUCAGGAAAAAUUCGCGUGGAACGGAUGAAAACAAGCCACUAAAAAUAACGUUUCUUUUAUCGGUGUAUCUCCUUUGUUUUCACCGCAUAUUGCUAACGUGUUCUCCGACAGUUUCUCUACCAUUGCAACAGUGUAUAAUCGCAAUACGCGGUGUAUGUAGAAAGUGAACAGGCUAGACGUUUUUGAAAGGAAGAAACGCGAAAUAGAAAUCAUUCUGAGCGGUUAAAUGGCAAAAUACUGCUACGUAUAGCUUGCAAGGUGGUGAAGUUAAAUCACGACUUCGACGAGCCCACGUGACCGGAGACAUUUAGAUGACUCACAAUCAGUGACACUAAAAGGAAACGAAGAAUGAAAUAGAAAUUUGCAAACUACGACCGAACUUUUAAUGGCAUAAAAAACAGAGGACUAUGCUGAAGAUUCAUUAGUAUUAUUAGUUUUGAUAGUCAAAACUUAAUCAAACAGAAUAUUUCACUGAACUUCAACAAUAGAAGAAUAACAACGAUAUGCUAACGAAAUUAAGAAUUGAAGAAAUAUUCAAGAGAAAUCUGGAUGCUAAUGAACGCCAUUUUGCAAAAUGAAAUUUGGAUUUCUUCUUGAUUCAAACUGUUGUCAGUGUACCGCGAAAAUAGAAAUUACAAAAAGUAUCUUAUUAACCGGAUGAUGAAUCCUUCAACAAAGUAAAAGAAAAACUUCGUGGGAUGUGAAGCAUCCUAUAAUAAAACUAUAAGACAGGAGGAGCAACUUUACAAGAAGAGAAAGUUAGCAGGUUAAAGGGAACUUUCUUGCGAUCCCUCCAUUGAACCCAUACUUUCAGAGAGAACAACGAUGAUCGUAACUUCGGUAUCAUCGAGUACUGGAAACAAGAAAAAUCCACGAAGUCACGUUACGUCGUACCAAUUAGGCGUCUGUUCUCAUGCAAACGCCAGCGGCGAGCGUUUAUCGGUCACGUAAGAGUUUCAAAAGAAUAGCAUCAUAAUCGUUCACAA